RNAcentral lists this ribosomal RNA (400 nucleotides) under uncultured bacterium. Its description in RNAcentral is "bacterial SSU rRNA". It matches the Rfam family "Bacterial small subunit ribosomal RNA", at positions 355 to 746 of the family's 1533-position model. The record is from RNAcentral.
UGAGGAAUCUUGCGCAAUGGGGGAAACCCUGACGCAGCCACGCCGCGUGGGUGAAGAAGGCCUUCGGGUCGUAAAGCCCUGUCAAGUGGGAAGAACCGCAGUCGGGCUAAUAUCCUGGCUGCCUGACGGUACCACUGAAGGAAGCACCGGCUAACUCCGUGCCAGCAGCCGCGGUAAUACGGAGGGUGCAAGCGUUGUUCGGAAUUACUGGGCGUAAAGCGCGUGUAGGCGGACCUAUAAGUCAGAUGUGAAAGCCCUGGGCUCAACCCAGGAAGUGCAUCUGAUACUGUAGGCCUUGAGUCCCGGAGAGGGUUGUGGAAUUCCCGGUGUAGAGGUGAAAUUCGUAGAUAUCGGGAGGAACACCAGUGGCGAAGGCGACAACCUGGACGAGGACUGACGC